Molecule: ribosomal RNA, 403 nt
Filed under: uncultured bacterium
Lineage: Bacteria
Description: bacterial SSU rRNA
Rfam family: Bacterial small subunit ribosomal RNA
Source: RNAcentral
UAGGGAAUAUUGCAAAAUGGGCGAAAGCCCGAUGCAGCAACGCCGCGUGGGCGAUGAAGGCCUUCGGGUCGUAAAGCCCUUUUUGAGGGGAUGAGGAAGGACAGUACCCUCAGAAUAAGCCUCGGCUAACUACGUGCCAGCAGCCGCGGUAAAACGUAGGAGGCGAGCGUUAUCCGGAUUUACUGGGCGUAAAGCGCGUGCAGGCGGAUUGGGGAGUUGGAUGUGAAAGCUCCCGGCUUAACUGGGAGAGGUCGUUCAAUACUUCCAGACUUGAGUGCAGUAGAGGGAAGUGGAAUUCCGGGUGUAGUGGUGAAAUGCGUAGAUAGCCGGAGGAACACCAGUGGCGAAAGCGGCUUCCUGGACUGUAACUGACGCUCAGACGCGAAAGCUAGGGUAGCAAACG